This 2422-nucleotide long non-coding RNA is filed under the name Mytilus galloprovincialis (Mediterranean mussel). Lineage: Eukaryota; Metazoa; Mollusca; Bivalvia; Mytilida; Mytilidae. The record is from RNAcentral.
CCAAAGCUUCCGAAAUUUUAAUAUGCUGGUACUGAAGACAAAAUGGAGGUCAAGUUCAAAUAAUGACAAUUUUGACUUUUACCGUUUCAGGAGUUAUGGUUCUUGAAAGAUUGAAAAAUGGUUUUCCCGUCGUGUCUGUGCAUUUUUUCUCAUGAACAUUCAACAAAGCUUUUGAAAUUUUAAUUAUGUUUACUGAUAACGAAUAGAGGUCAAGUUCAAUAAUGACGAUUUUGACUUUUACCGUUCAGGAGUUAUGGUUCUUGAAAGAUCAUAAAAUGGCGUUUCCAUUCAGGUUGUUGCAUUUACUCAUGAACUAUUCAAUCUAAGCUUUUCAAAUUUUAAUAUUUGAUACUGAUGAAAAGGGAGGUCAAAUUUGAUAUUGACGAUUUUCACUUUCACCAUUCAUCAGUAAUGGUUCUUGUGAUAUUGCCAGGACACAAAUAAAUGUUAAUAAAUCCGGUUUGCUGUCGUUAUGACAGCCUCUUGUUACAUCUUGCUUAGGGUGGUAAAAGGGGGUCUGAACACUGAAAAAUGGGAAAUGAAAAAUUAAUAAAACGUUGCAUGGAAAAGCACAAGAAAUAAAAUCGUAGAUAUUAAGGUGGUACCCAACACUUUCACUAAAAUUAAUUUGGCUUAUCUGUAUCAUUGUCCAAAUUGUCUGUUUGUGUAGUAUUGUCAAUUCUCUAUUUUGACUUGAGUCCUGUUAGAUCUUCAAGUGAGCAGUUAAGAAUAUAGGAGUUUCUCACUAAAUUUAUACCAGAAUUUAUUUCAUAACUGAGAGUUUGACAUGAGGAUCAAAUGCCUUUCUGCUGUUGAUCAUGUUGAUGUUAAGCAAAAUCUCCUGUCAUUCAUUUGAUGUAUCUGGGGUUUGCAAGGGCUGAUUUAGAUUCAGGGUGGCACAUCCCCCCUUUUUAUGGAAACAACAAUAUGGUAACUGCGUAGAUUUUCAACAUGCCCCACUCUUAACAUUGCCUAGUUUGAAUAAUAAUAGUCUGUCAUUUGAUUUAAUUGACUCUGUAUACUAAAGACAAGUUUUUCCUGUACAAUGGACAUGAAUUGGGGAGAAAAUGUGUUGUUUUUUCACUUGUUAUAUCGAUAAAGUUAUGUGAAUUUGUAGAGUGAUAAUGUAUUUAAUGUUUAUAUUGUUAUAAGUACUUGUAUGUAACAUAUGCAUUACAGUAAAACCUAAUCAUGUACAGUGGAUAAUAAUCAGUAUUAAUCAAUAUAAUGCAGUCAAGAAUCCACAAUCCCAUUUACAGUUGUGUAUACUUAAGCUUAUUAUAUAGCUGUUUAUUUCUUCUGCUGGACAGGAGUAAUAUGAAUCCAAAAAAUUAAAAAAAAUACUUAUUUAGUUUAGUUUAGUUUAAACAUAUUUUAUUUGAUCAAGUACAAAUUGGAUAAGACACAAGUCAAACAGACUUAUGAAGUCUUCUCCAUUUAACAUUUUUAGCAAUAUAAUACAAAAUAUUUGUAAAACUAAAAAUACUUAUUUCAAAUGUUUACCAUGAAAGUUAUACUUCUGUUGAGUUUGUUGUUAAUUUUUUUGUCUAUAAACCAGAGUUGUAAAUAAUAUUUAACACUUAUGGAAUAAAACCACUAAUUCAUAGCCCAAUUGAUUUGAUUCAAAAUUAACUGAAUCUUUUAAAUUUUGACAAUGUUACAGCUAUGCACAGGACCUAUUUUGUUUAUAUAUAAUAUGUUCUACUUUCUUGUACAUGUAUAUUCUUUAUGACUGGGCCCAAAUUAGUGGUUUUGUACUUUAUACAGUUCACUAUGUUCUUUUUAACCAGGCCUGAAUUAGUGGUUUUGUACCAAAUACAGUUCACUGUUCUUUUUUACAGUAACUGGCCCAAUUAGUAGUUCAGUCUGUAAUUAAUUAUUUAAACAUAUAUAUUCUGAUUUUUUAUUCUUUCAAUAUCAAAUGUAAAUUGAUAUUGAAGAUCUUUAAAGGAACAAUUAAAUCUUUUUUAAAAUUAUUGCUGUGUAAACAAUGUUAUAAUUAUAGAAUCACUAAUCCAAAAAUUUAAGAAUAAAAAAAAACCCAAUCCAACCAGUGAUCUAUUAACGAACAACACACUGAAUUCAAAUAAUCUUUUUCAUUUUCAAAAUAUUUCAGCUUUUGAAAUGAAUGUUUUAUUUUUAUUUCUAAAUGUUGCAAGUAUAUUUAUCCAGUAACACACUUGUCACAGUAAAGACUGAAAAAGGUAUAUGCAUUAGAAUCAAGAUUGAUGUCUAAAAAACAAUUCUUUGUUACUUAAAAUUUAUUUUGCCUCAUAAAUUUGUUUUCCUUCUAUAUAUUUAUGCACAUAUGUAAUAUUUAUUGUCCUCUUUCUAGAAAUCAUGUUGAAAACACAAUUGAUAAAUCAUUUACUGGUAAAUGAAUGAUAAUUCAAUAAAAUUAUAAUAUCUGCUAUAAUAGUUU